RNAcentral lists this transfer RNA (75 nucleotides) under Pseudomonadota bacterium. RNAcentral's name for it is "tRNA-Ile". It matches the Rfam family "tRNA". Rfam says of the family: Transfer RNA (tRNA) molecules are approximately 80 nucleotides in length. Their secondary structure includes four short double-helical elements and three loops (D, anti-codon, and T loops). RNAcentral also lists the same sequence under 4 other names. Lineage: Bacteria; Pseudomonadati; Pseudomonadota. The record is from RNAcentral.
GGGCCCGUAGCUCAAGGGCAGAGCGACCGGCUCAUAACCGGUUGGUUGGAGGUUCGAAUCCUCCCGGGCCCACCA